Molecule: transfer RNA, 95 nt
Filed under: Pseudonocardiales bacterium
Lineage: Bacteria; Bacillati; Actinomycetota; Actinomycetes; Pseudonocardiales
Description: tRNA-Leu
Source: RNAcentral
GCUCUGGACGCAAUGGACGGAUAUGACACUCGCUGCGCCAGGUUGAGGGCCUGGUCCGGGAUAACCGGGUGGAGGUUCGAGUCCUCUUCGGCGCA